CCUGGUUCUCGUUUCGUCUUCCUCGAGCUCAGCUGCAGUGAUACUAGACCGCGCUGCUACACCCGCACGAUCUCCUACCCGCCGCCGUUUCGUGCCCCAUGAAAGGAUUUAGUUGAGAUUGGUCCGUAGAAGAAGGGGCGCAAGGCUGCAGAUGCCAAGGGCGUGAGAGCCGCCGUCGCCGCCGGUGGCAAGGAGGAGCACACGAUGGGAAUGGCACACCCACGCCGGCCGAGCUUCACCCCAUCCAGCCCACCCCUUCUUCGUCGUGCACGGCGGAACGAGGCCACUUCAUUGAUGGUCUGCAACCCCGGCGAGGCGAGAGCCAGCGGUUGCGACAUCAUCAUCCUGCACCCUCCUCCCUCAUGCUGGUCUACGGCGAAGGGGUGCCAUGGCAGCCGACGAGGAUGUAUUACCGAGGUACUUGGCCCGCUAUCCUCAUCCCGUCCGCCUUGGAGAACGGCACCAUCUCCUUCUCCUCGCUUCUAGCUGCACCUCUCCAUAUGAGUUUCAUUGGUCUUUCUUAUGGUUAUGUAUUUCAAAGGCUUCCAUGUUGUGUUUCCAGUGAGGUCAAAGAAUGCUCUUGGGCAGAGAAGCUAAUAUCCAAUAAAGUUGUUCUACACUUCGACCAUACCCACCAUUCUCCACUCUGCACUGAUUACAAACCUGUAUUUCAUUUCCCAGCUUCUAUACAGGAAGUACAGUGGAAAUUUUAUGGUUAACCUUCUCGGCAUAUGGAAAUAAUAGUACUAUUCUGGUUAUUCUGUUACUACUGGUGGUCUUGUUUACGAUGUGACUGAUUACUUGGCAUUGCUAGCUUUCCAUUCUGUCGUCUAGGUUUUCGUUACCCUAGAAAAUAUUGUUAUACUUACUAUGUUAUUUUAACUGCAUUUUAGCUGAUAUUCUGGCGAAUCCAUUCAAUUAAGUAUUGAUUUUAUAAACCUGAAUGUUUAUAGGUUCUUCACCAGCUACAGAUUAUUGCAUUGAGUAUAUUCACUAAUUGGCAACAGAUAGAGAAAAGCAUCUGCACGUGGCAGGGAGUCGACUUGUUGCAGAUAACCACCUGGAGUUCAUCACUAAAAAUGUAUCGCCUCUACCUGGAGUUCAUCAUUCAAAACCAGGUUGCCUAAAAUUUAGUACAACCUCAUGCCCAAGUUUAAUAUGCACAUAUGUUUUUAUACUUUGCUCUAAUAUGUUAUACCCUUUCAAAGAAUUAUUAUUAUUCCUGCUUUGCCUGCUAAACAAGUAUGAUGAUGGCAUAAUGCUUUACUUGGCUUGAUGAUUUACUUUUUGCCGACUGUUUUGUCCGCACUGACUUCUGUAUACGGCUCAUACAUUACAUGCUAAUCUACACAACAACUUUCUUUAGAGAGUUUUUAAUGAAUGAUGGAAGAGGUACCAAAUGAAUUCUAAAGCAUUGCUUAAAGGAUCCAUAUAGUUAUGCUUUGGGUUAGUUUUUUUUAUUAGGAUCUCUCUAGGAACUUUUCCCUCUGUAUUGUGUUGUUGCCGCUACAUGCCAGCAAGACGGUCAGUGUCGAUGAUGAAGAGCGCUUGUUUUGUCUGAUUAUGGAACGAUUUGGACACAUAUAGAGUAUUACCUCCUUUAGCUUGCAAGGUAUGUUACCAUCGCAUGCCCCAUCCGCUUAGCUAACUUUUUGUGUUGAACUAGGAAUUUGGAACAGAUAGCCAAGAAGGACAUGAACCUCUUACAGGACCUCUGAUUGGUGGAUUCUGUUGUUGUCACUGUCUUUCAUCAUUCAGAGAAAAGUCCAUCCAUUUCUACCGUUGUUUGCAUGGAAAUGUUAAUAUAUAACAUGGAAAUAUGUGACGUGGAACAAUUUGUCAGUCCUCAGAAUGCCAGAUUGGAAUCCAUUAACUAUGUAGGCUGCAGCAGUUUUUCAAGCUUCGAUUAUUAGGAGAAGAGUGCGAUAGGUGUCAAUCAUACACAAUACUGGUCUAGCCUCAUUAAUGAUACUUGGGAAAAUACUAUUUCAUGCAUUUAUCAGUACAAAGCUCGGAUAAUAUUGUCUAAUAUCCUACUCCCUCUGUUCAGAUAAUUGGCAAUCAAAGUAACAGUAUUGUUGUAUUUACUCCCUUGCUAACACAUAAGAGCCAUAUUAUAAUUGUAUGCCAUGUGGUACUUUGAUUGCCUGCGCCCAAAAGCAAGGCCAGUGCCCAAUUAUGGCUCGACGUGUGGACCAAUGAAUAUCACAGAAGCAAGGCUAGCGCCUGCCCAGCCUUUGUGCGCCACCUGAGCCUCUCAAGAUUAACCUUACUCUAAGAACACUUAUGUAAGCACUUCAUUUGAUAUACCAAAAUGCACACUUAUUGUUAGCCAGAUCAUUUUAGCAUCUAUAAAUUUAAUCAAUAUUAACUCCCAAAAUUUUAGUGUGGUGCUUGUAUGUUCAUAGAGAGCCAUCGACAUAUGGUUUAGUGUCAGUAUUAAAUACGACAUUACUAUUCGUAGAUGAAAAAAUUAUGCGUGGUUUCCGGUUUAUAAUGAUCUUUAUUGUUAUAUUCAUUAGCUGCUAGCAUUUUGGUAUAUUUGCUAUACUAGCAUCUACUUACGGGAAAGACAUUGUCUUAAUGUUUUGAGAAAGCCAUAUCUUACUUAUAGCAUUAUGGCUGGCUGGUUGCUUUUUAAUACCUAUUUUUACCUGCUAAUUAUCAAAUUGUUGAUAAAGAAAUCUAUCUUUAUCUCUUCAUGCUACAAAAACAAAAGAAAUAUGGCUUUUCCUUAUCUGAGUAUGGAUUAAGUCGGAAUCUUGUUUUUCUCUACAUAGACUUAUUUGUAGCAGCAAUGUGUUAUUUCUAUACAUAAUGAUUGUUGCCUUUGGACACAAUCACACAAGUGACUCUCCUCUUUUUAUCUCGUUUUUUUUGUAUUCAGAUGUAUUAAAAAAUUUACUCCCAUUUCGAUGUUCUUUGUUAAAUAUUUGAUAGAAAAGAGUUCCAGUAGUCAACUGGAUGUACAUGCAUAUUUUUUGAUUGCUGAAGAACAUGCAUCUAUCUUUACAUAGAUUUCAUUACUUGUCAGAAGAUCCCUCUGAUCAUGUUGUUGAUUUCUUUUGUAGGUAUCAGUCUCAUUUUCAUACAACGAAGAUAAUCUGCAAGCCAGCUUAAUUCAGAGUUCAGGCUGAUCCUGAUUUCUUUUUCAUAUGUGCAUCUUUGGUCUAUGUAAACUUGUAAACCAUGAGUGGUAGCUUAGUUUAGGUUUGGUCCACCUUUCUAUAGGUUUUUUUCAUGUAAGAUUGUUGGUUUAUGUAAACAAUUAGGUCGCCAUUUGGUAUUUUAUUGGAUGCAAACCUGAAUGCAA
This is a long non-coding RNA of Lolium rigidum, 3313 nucleotides long. RefSeq lists it as uncharacterized. The record is from RefSeq and is a predicted model, not a curated record. NCBI's taxonomy places the organism in Eukaryota, Viridiplantae, Streptophyta, Magnoliopsida, Poales, Poaceae. The transcript has 4 exons.